RNAcentral lists this ribosomal RNA (252 nucleotides) under uncultured bacterium. Its description in RNAcentral is "partial 16S ribosomal RNA". It matches the Rfam family "Bacterial small subunit ribosomal RNA", at positions 524 to 776 of the family's 1533-position model. The record is from RNAcentral.
UACGUAGGGGCUAGCGUUGUCCGGAAUCAUUGGGCGUAAAGAGCGUGUAGGCGGUCCGGUAAGUCCGCUGUGAAAGUCGGGGGCUCAACCCUCGAAUGCCGGUGGAUACUGUCGGGCUAGAGUGCGGAAGAGGCGAGUGGAAUUCCUGGUGUAGCGGUGAAAUGCGCAGAUAUCAGGAGGAACACCUAUUGCGAAGGCAGCUCGCUGGGACGUAACUGACGCUGAGACGCGAAAGCGUGGGGAGCGAACAGG